RNAcentral lists this ribosomal RNA (522 nucleotides) under uncultured bacterium. Its description in RNAcentral is "bacterial SSU rRNA". It matches the Rfam family "Bacterial small subunit ribosomal RNA", at positions 772 to 1297 of the family's 1533-position model. The record is from RNAcentral.
ACUGAAUAGAUACCCCGGUAGUCCACGCUGUAAACGAUGAUUACUCGAUGUUGGCGAUACACAGUCAGCGUCUGAGCGAAAGCAAUAAGUAAUCCACCUGGGGAGUACGAUCGCAAGAUUGAAACUCAAAGGAAUUGACGGGGGCCCGCACAAGCGGAGGAGCAUGUGGUUUAAUUCGAUGAUACGCGAGGAACCUUACCUGGGCUCGAACGUAAGAUGACUGUAGGUGAAAGCUUGCAUCUCUUCGGAGCAUUUUACGAGGUGCUGCAUGGUUGUCGUCAGCUCGUGCCGUGAGGUGUCGGGUUUAAGUCCCAUAACGAGCGCAACCCCUACCUUUAGUUGCCAACAGGUCAAGCUGGGGUACUCUAAAGGAACUGCCUACGCAAGUAGUGAGGAAGGCGGGGAUGACGUCAAAUCAGCACGGCCCUUACGUCCAGGGCUACACACGUGCUACAAUGGCCGAUACAGAGGGCAGCUACCUGGUGACAGGAUGCAAAUCUCCAAAGUCGGUCUCAGUUCGGA